GCUGGGCACGGUGGUGCAUGCCUGUAAUCCCAGCGGCUUGGGAGGUUGAGGCAGGAGGAUCGUGAGUUCAAAGCCAGCCUCAGCAACUUAGCAAGGCCUUUAGUGAGACCCUGUCUCUA
RNAcentral lists this small RNA (119 nucleotides) under Marmota monax (woodchuck). Lineage: Eukaryota; Metazoa; Chordata; Mammalia; Rodentia; Sciuridae. The record is from RNAcentral.